Molecule: transfer RNA, 72 nt
Filed under: Caldilineaceae bacterium
Lineage: Bacteria; Bacillati; Chloroflexota; Caldilineae; Caldilineales; Caldilineaceae
Description: tRNA-Met
Rfam family: tRNA
About the family: Transfer RNA (tRNA) molecules are approximately 80 nucleotides in length. Their secondary structure includes four short double-helical elements and three loops (D, anti-codon, and T loops).
Source: RNAcentral
UGCGGGGUGGAGCAGCGGAAGCUCGUUGGGCUCAUAACCCGAAGGUCGCAGGUUCAAAUCCUGUCCCCGCAA